UACAGAGGUCCCAAGCGUUGUUCGGAUUCACUGGGCGUAAAGGGUGCGCAGGUGGUCGGGUAAGUCUGACGUGAAAUCCCGCAGCUUAACUGCGGAAUGGCAUUGGAUACUAUUCGGCUAGAGGGUUGGAGGGGGGACUGGAAUUCUCGGUGUAGCAGUGAAAUGCGUAGAUAUCGAGAGGAACACCAGUGGCGAAGGCGAGUCCCUGGACAACUCCUGACGCUGAGAAGCGAAAGCAUGGGGAGCGAACAGG
This 253-nucleotide ribosomal RNA is filed under the name uncultured bacterium. RNAcentral describes it as "partial 16S ribosomal RNA". It matches the Rfam family "Bacterial small subunit ribosomal RNA", at positions 524 to 776 of the family's 1533-position model. The record is from RNAcentral.